UACGGAGGAUGCGAGCGUUAUCCGGAUUUAUUGGGUUUAAAGGGUGCGCAGGCGGCACGGCAAGCCGGCGGUCAAAUCGCGGGGCUCAACCCCGCCCAGCCGUCGGAACUGCCGGGCUAGAGUGGGCGAGAAGUGCGCGGAAUGCGUGGUGUAGCGGUGAAAUGCAUAGAUAUCACGUAGAACUCCGAUUGCGAAGGCAGCGCACCGGCGCCCUACUGACGCUCAGGCACGAAAGCGUGGGUAUCGAACAGG
RNAcentral lists this ribosomal RNA (252 nucleotides) under uncultured bacterium. RNAcentral describes it as "partial 16S ribosomal RNA". It matches the Rfam family "Bacterial small subunit ribosomal RNA", at positions 524 to 776 of the family's 1533-position model. The record is from RNAcentral.